This 518-nucleotide ribosomal RNA is filed under the name uncultured bacterium. RNAcentral's name for it is "bacterial SSU rRNA". It matches the Rfam family "Bacterial small subunit ribosomal RNA", at positions 29 to 526 of the family's 1533-position model. The record is from RNAcentral.
AACGAACGUUAGCGGCGCGCUUAACACAUGUAAGUCGAACGAGAAAGGGCUUCGGCCCCGGUACAGUGGCGCACGGGUGAGCAACACGUGGGUAACCUUCCCUCGAGCGGGGGAAAACGUUCCGAAAGGAGCGCUAAUACCGCAUAAGACCACGGCCUCGAAAGAGGCUGAGGUAAAAGUAGGCCUCUGAAUUCACGCUACACUCGAGGAUGGGCCCGCGGCCCAUCAUGGUAGUUGGUAGGGUAACGGCCUACCAAGCCGAAGACGGGUAGCUGGUCUUAGAGGAUGAUCAGCCACACUGGAACUGAGACACGGUCCAGACUCCUACGGGAGGCAGCAGUGGGGAAUCUUGCGCAAUGGGCGAAAGCCUGACGCAGCGACGCCGCGUGGGUGAUGAAGGCCUUCGGGUCGUAAAGCUCUGUGGGGAGAGACGAAUAAAGCGGGAAUAAUACUCUCGACGAUGACGGUAUCUCCUUAGCAAGCACCGGCUAACUCUGUGCCAGCCGCCGCGGUAAAAC